CGCGUAGGCGGCUUUGCGUGUCUUCCGUGAAAUCCCUCGGCUCAACUGAGGACGUGCGGAAGAAACUGCAGGGCUCGAGUCCGGGAGAGGGGGGUGGAAUUCCCAGUGUAGCGGUGAAAUGCGUAGAUAUUGGGAGGAACACCGGUGGCGAAGGCGGCCCCCUGGACCGGUACUGACGCUGAGGCGCGAAAGCGUGGGGAGCAAACG
This 207-nucleotide ribosomal RNA is filed under the name uncultured bacterium. RNAcentral's name for it is "partial 16S ribosomal RNA". It matches the Rfam family "Bacterial small subunit ribosomal RNA", at positions 568 to 774 of the family's 1533-position model. The record is from RNAcentral.